CACGUAGGGCGCGAGCGUUGUCCGGAAUUACUGGGCGUAAAGGGCGCGUAGGCGGACAGUUUAGUCAGAGGUGAAAGCCCAGGGCUCAACCUUGGAAUUGCCUUUGAUACUGGCUGUCUUGAGUUCGGGAGAGGUGAGUGGAAUGCCGAGUGUAGAGGUGAAAUUCGUAGAUAUUCGGCGGAACACCAGUGGCGAAGGCGACUCACUGGCCCGAUACUGACGCUGAGGCGCGAAAGCGUGGGAGCAAACAGG
This 252-nucleotide ribosomal RNA is filed under the name uncultured bacterium. Its description in RNAcentral is "partial 16S ribosomal RNA". It matches the Rfam family "Bacterial small subunit ribosomal RNA", at positions 524 to 776 of the family's 1533-position model. The record is from RNAcentral.